RNAcentral lists this ribosomal RNA (205 nucleotides) under uncultured bacterium. RNAcentral's name for it is "partial 16S ribosomal RNA". It matches the Rfam family "Bacterial small subunit ribosomal RNA", at positions 26 to 224 of the family's 1533-position model. The record is from RNAcentral.
AGAAUCAACGCUGGCGGCGUGCCUCAGACAUGCAAGUCGAACGAUUAAAGCUCUCUUCGGAGAGUGUAUAGAGUGGCGCACGGGUGAGUAACACGUAAGUAAUCUACCUUUGAGUGGGGAAUAACAGUCGGAAACGGCUGCUAAUACCGCAUAACGCAAGCGGCACCGCAAGGUGACAGUUGUUAAAGGAGCAAUCCGCUUAAAG